RNAcentral lists this long non-coding RNA (2403 nucleotides) under Paramuricea clavata. Lineage: Eukaryota; Metazoa; Cnidaria; Anthozoa; Malacalcyonacea; Plexauridae. The record is from RNAcentral.
AGAUGAAAUUGUAUUGUCUGGUGAGAGUAGCGAAGAAGAUGAAAAGAUUAUGUUAACAUCGUCGAAUAUCACAGAUUUCCAAGAAAAGUAAGAUUAUCACUCUGUGGUAAUACAGCUAAUUCAAUUAGCCUUUUUUCACGACCGACAUUUCCGCCCUUUUUUAGGGUAUUGCCUCUCCCACGUUCGAGACUCUCCGCUCCACAAAAUGCGACUUUUUAGUAUUAUAGUUGGGCAAUUGCUAGAUAGUAUACUUCAAAAUAAGAUUUCCGUUUUUAUUCUAUUUUUAAAAUAAGUUAGGGUUAGGUUAGGGUUUAAGUUAGGGUUAGGUUGGGGUUAGGGUUAGUAUUAGGGUUUAGUUUUGCGUUAGGAUAGUUUUUUUCUACGUUAUAAAAACGGAAACCUUACUUUGAAGUAUACUAUCUAGCAAUCACCAUUAUAGUUGCAUGUUUGUUGUUUGAGGGCAGAUAGUAUCCCCAAAAUGGCGGAUUUGACCUUCGUGAGAAAGACUGAUUAAGGUUGUCGUCUGAAACUGCAAAACUCACAACCUCUAAGCUCGAUGGACGUGUUAGCACGAUCUAGUUCAGUUGUUAUAUUUUUACUAAUUAUAGUUUUUAUGUUGUCUAGAUAGUGUGCUAAUAAAGUGAAUUUAAAUCCCAAGGGAGUAAAGCAUGUCCCGUAAACAACUUUCUUUAACGUUAAGAGCUUUAAAAAUCCCAUGAAUUCUGCCGUGUUUACUACUGAAUUGGGUUAGACGCCUUAAUUGUCACUAUUUUAAAUGAUAGAAUGUAGAGUUAUUAAGUAACUUACAGGACUUUCAGAGGGAAUUGAGUAGAAUCGAUUUUACUAGUGUAUAAAAACACUUAUCAAUAUUCAUAACCAGUCUUCGCUUUGCGCUCUCGCGUGCUAUAUCGAAUAUAUUUAAUUGUAGUGACGACUUUUCAUUGUAUAAAAAUUAUAUACAUAUGUGAAAAUUUUAUUUGUGAAAAUUUAUGAGUAUUUUCUUGCCAAAUAGCAAACUUUUCAAGCAACAAAUCACUAUUCAUGCUAAAAUAUCACAAAUUUCAUGAUCGACACUUUAAUUCAUUCUUACCUUGGUUCUGUUCACCUUGUCUCAACCGUCGAGCUUUCCUUUCAUUUUCAGUCUUGAAAUUUUCAAUUUAAUGAUCCAGAGUUGUUUCAUCGUCGUAAAUUAAUAAUUCCAGAUGCCCUAACAACUGAUUUUCAUUCUUUACACAUGGCCUUGUAGUACGCUUGAGUUUGUUUUAUCAUUUCAAUUUUCACAAAAUGGAAAGUUUCUGCGCGAGACUGAACACAGUGCGCGUCUCUGUCAGUCAGUUAUGAUAAACUACAUCAUGACAUCACAACGUUUUUGUAGCCUGCGCGAGAAAAAGGAAUUGUGGGUAAUUAAUUAAUUCAAUGUCUGUGACGUCAUUUAAUGAAACAAGAAUAAAAACUUGCGUAAACCGUUUUUUCACGGGGGGACUUUCAGUGUACGUGAAACGCAUGUCAUAACCAAAAGGUCGUUUGUUUGAGACAAAAUAUACACAACGAAAUUCGUCAUAGAGCAGAAAUGCCAUAUUGUCUGGAACUCGGCCUGUUUUUUAACCGUGAGUUUUUUAAUCCUUUUUUACUGAAAUUUCACACACAAUUUUAAUUGUUUAAAAGCUUUAGACAAUUUUAAUUGCUUAAAAACUUAAAAGCUUCUUCUAGAGAGUGGUGCGCACUGCAAACUAUCAAAAUACGCAAAUGAUAAACUUUAUAUUCGAAAAAGUGCUGUGCUAAUCCCUAGCUUGGCUGUUUUUACCAAAUCAACGUUUUUUUGUCAACAUAGCGAUAAUAAUUUUGUUUUCUUUUAUUUGAAGAAAAGUCACGAAAGAAACAGCCACAAAAGAUGAUAUGAACGUGUCAAAAAACAAGAAAACAAAAAAGAAAUAACUGUAUCUCAUAAAUGAAAUGAAACAUACAGGGUUGUUGGCAGGGCGUCCUACAUGUUGUUGACGUGCGAACGUUUACAUGAGAAUUUUGUCAACUGUAAAACAAGAGCUGUAUGAAGUUGACAGGAUAUCACCACGCGUAGCAAAAACUCUCAAGGAAGCGCAAAGUUGAUGAGAAUAAGACCGGGGCUAAACAAAGCUAUAAUGUAAUAGUUUCUGGUGGUAUUACUUGUUCUUUUGUUUUCGUAAAAGGAUGGGAAAAUGCAAGUUAUAUAACUGCACAAGCCGAGCAUAACCCGUAACAUUUAUCUGUAGAUGGCAGAUGCCUUGAAAUAAGAUAUUUUUACUUAAAAGAAUGGGGCUAAGCUGUCAUCAUCCCACCAAAUGUGUAUAACAUUGACGUGAUUUGGGACAGCAUUUGAUUUACCCGAUUAACCGCUAGUCAAAUCUGAACUGGGGCGUAGGAAGC